This 484-nucleotide ribosomal RNA is filed under the name uncultured bacterium. RNAcentral describes it as "partial 16S ribosomal RNA". It matches the Rfam family "Bacterial small subunit ribosomal RNA", at positions 30 to 507 of the family's 1533-position model. The record is from RNAcentral.
AUUGAACGCUAGCGGGAUGCUUUACACAUGCAAGUCGAACGGCAGCGCGGACUUCGGUCUGGCGGCGAGUGGCGAACGGGUGAGUAAUUUAUCGGAACGUGCCCAGUAUCGGGGGAUAACUACGCGAAAGCGUAGCUAAUACCGCAUACGCCCUACGGUGGAAAGCAGGGGAUCGUAAGACCUUGCACUAUUGGAGCGGCCGAUAUCGGAUUAGCUAGUUGGUGAGGUAACGGCUCACCAAGGCGACGAUCCGUAGCUGGUUUGAGAGGACGACCAGCCACACUGGGACUGAGACACGGCCCAGACUCCUACGGGAGGCAGCAGUGGGGAAUUUUGGACAAUGGGGGCAACCCUGAUCCAGCCAUCCCGCGUGUGCGAUGAAGGCCUUCGGGUUGUAAAGCACUUUUGGCAGGAAAGAAACGUAGCGGGCUAAUACCCCGUGGAACUGACGGUACCUGCAGAAUAAGCACCGGCUAACUACGUG